UCUUUGAUAGCUUAAGUUCUAAAGCUUUAGGCUUUUAACCUAAAUAUACAGUGAUUGUUCAAAGGG
RNAcentral lists this transfer RNA (66 nucleotides) under Xylophaga dorsalis. RNAcentral describes it as "tRNA-Lys". It matches the Rfam family "tRNA". From Rfam's summary of the family: Transfer RNA (tRNA) molecules are approximately 80 nucleotides in length. Their secondary structure includes four short double-helical elements and three loops (D, anti-codon, and T loops). Lineage: Eukaryota; Metazoa; Mollusca; Bivalvia; Myida; Xylophagaidae. The record is from RNAcentral.